UCACUCGAUAUGCGAUCCGUAGGAUGGCGUUUCACAAGCGAAAGCGUUAAGUGAGCCACCUUGGGACUACGUCGGCAACGAUGAAACUCAAAGUAUUUGACGGGUGUCCGCACAAGCGGUGGAGCAUGUGGUUUAAUUCGAUGAUACGCGAGGAACCUUACCUGUGCUAGUAUGCGAGUGACCGCCCCUGAAAGGCUCCUUUCCUUCGGGACACAAAGCAAGGUGCUGCAUGGCUGUCGUCAGCUCGUCCCGUGAGGUGUUGGGUUAAGUCCCGCAACGAGCGCAACCCUUGUCCUUAGUGCACAGCACUUCGGGUGGGGACUCUAAGGAGACUGCCGGCGCAAGCCGCGAGGAAGGUGGGGAUGACGUCAAGUCAUCAUGGCCUUUAUGCCCAGGGCUACACACGUGCUACAAUGGCCAGUACAGAGUGUAUCGAAGCCGCGAUGUGGAGCCAAUCCCAGCAAGCUGGUCCCAGUUCGGAUUGGAGUCUGGAGCUCGACUCCAUGAAGGUGGAUCGCUAGUA
RNAcentral lists this ribosomal RNA (523 nucleotides) under uncultured organism. RNAcentral describes it as "bacterial SSU rRNA". It matches the Rfam family "Bacterial small subunit ribosomal RNA", at positions 813 to 1340 of the family's 1533-position model. The record is from RNAcentral.